Molecule: ribosomal RNA, 590 nt
Filed under: Carabus concolor
Lineage: Eukaryota; Metazoa; Arthropoda; Insecta; Coleoptera; Carabidae
Also listed under: 1 other name
Description: partial large subunit ribosomal RNA
Rfam family: Bacterial large subunit ribosomal RNA
Source: RNAcentral
UUUUAAAUGGCCGCAGUAUUUUGACUGUGCAAAGGUAGCAUAAUCAUUAGUUUUUUAAUUAAAAGCUUGUAUGAAAGGUUGGACGAGGUAAAAUCUGUCUCUAUUUAAAUUAUAGUAGAAUUUAACUUUUAAGUUAAAAGGCUUAAAUAUUAUUAAAAGACGAGAAGACCCUAUAGAUCUUUAUAAUUUAUUAAGUAAAAUUAUUUUAGAAAUUUUAAUGUUUUAUUUAUUUAAAUUAUUUUAUUGGGGUAAUAAAAAGAUUGAAUUAAUUCUUUUUUUUGAUAAACAUUAAUUUAUGAAUAUUAAUGAUCCAGUUUUACUGAUUAUAAGAUUAAGUUACCUUAGGGAUAACAGCGUAAUUUUUUUAGAGAGUUCAUAUCGAUAAAAAAGUUUGCGACCUCGAUGUUGGAUUAAAGAUUAUUUUAGGUGUAGAAGCUUGAUAAUUUUGGUCUGUUCGACCAUUAAAUCUUUACAUGAUCUGAGUUCAGACCGGUGUAAGCCAGGUCGGUUUCUAUCUUUAAUAAAAUAAAAUAUUUUAGUACGAAAGGACCAAAUAUUUGAUAUAUUGAUAUUUAAUUUAUUGAAUGUUA